This 73-nucleotide transfer RNA is filed under the name Triticum aestivum (bread wheat). It matches the Rfam family "tRNA". Rfam says of the family: Transfer RNA (tRNA) molecules are approximately 80 nucleotides in length. Their secondary structure includes four short double-helical elements and three loops (D, anti-codon, and T loops). The record is from Rfam by way of RNAcentral. Lineage: Eukaryota; Viridiplantae; Streptophyta; Magnoliopsida; Poales; Poaceae.
UCUGUCGUAGUCUUGGUGGUUAGCAUACUCAGCUCUCACCCGAGAGACCCGGGUUCAAGUCCUGGCGACAGAA